RNAcentral lists this ribosomal RNA (253 nucleotides) under uncultured bacterium. RNAcentral's name for it is "partial 16S ribosomal RNA". It matches the Rfam family "Bacterial small subunit ribosomal RNA", at positions 524 to 776 of the family's 1533-position model. The record is from RNAcentral.
GACGUAGGGCGCGAGCGUUGUCCGGAUUUAUUGGGCGUAAAGAGCUCGUAGGCGGCUUGUCGCGUCGAAUGUGAAAACUCGGGGCUCAACUCCGAGCUUGCAUUCGAUACGGGCAGGCUAGAGUUCGGUAGGGGAGACUGGAAUUCCUGGUGUAGCGGUGAAAUGCGCAGAUAUCAGGAGGAACCCCAGAGGCGAAGGCGGCGCGCUGGCUCGCAACUGACGCUCAGACACGAAAGCAUGGGGAGCGAACGGG